CUCCCCUUUCCUCCUCCCUUGUCCUCUUCCAGUCUCUCUCCUCCUGAUGGCAGAGCAAAAUCCAUUAAAGCACCUGCCUCCGUCCUCUUUCUCACUUACAUAGCCUGCCUUUUCUUUGUUCCCAGAUGAGUCUUUUUAGAUCACCACAGAGCAUUGCAAACAGAGUUAACCGGGUAUUCCUCUGAAAUAGGCAGGCGGUCGUAGACUGGAGGAUCUGCCGAAUGUGACAGUGUGAUUUUCCUCCAUACUUGCAUUUCUAUUUUUAUUUUUCUUUGCAGUUUAGAUUGGAAACCUGUUGCAUCUAUGAAGGCUGACCAUAGCAAAUACAUCCUACAUUUAUCCUCUACAAGAGAAGACCAUUUUCCGGUCGAUUUUCUUCUCCACAAUUCCUUUUUUUUUCCAGUCAAUUGCUUUGCACGUUUUUUUUAAAUGUGCAACAUCUCUAUUGUGGAUUUAAUGUUCUUCUGGAACUUACUGUUGAAGUAAAUCCUCUGUGAAAAUGGCUGCUGUAAGGAUCUUCAUCAGCUUACUGCUCAUUGUAAACUAUGCCAAAGCCCAGAAAUCAAAUGAGAACUCCACCUACGUGCUGCUUAGUCCUCAGACCCUGAUUAGCUUCCUGCUGUUGGGUUUGACUGUCACUCUGUCUGGCUGUGUCUACCUAUGGAUCCUCAGAUAUGUGUGCGUUGGAUGUUGCCAACCAGUUGCAGUCGGCCCAGAAUCAGAAGCAUUGGCAGUGAUGGUGUGAACCUUUUGGAUCCUAAAGGGGUGCAACAUCACCACCUUUACCAUCACAGAAGCAAGAUAUCCUUCUCUGCACUUGUGAAUUACAGAGCUCAGCUUUUAUAUAACCAAAUGUUUAAUAUGUUAUAAGUCUUGUCACUGCCUGAUUUGGAAGGUUUUUUUGUUUUAUCAAUGAAUAGCAAAGAAAAAAGAUGCCAUGGUUUAAACUUUGGGGCGUCUAUUUUGUGCUUUCAUUGAACAGCAUCUGGAAACUAGUUUUUUAUUUUUAUUAAUUUUUUUAGCUUGUCCUGUCCAACAGCUGGGCAGACAGAAGAGAGCUGAAGGCCUGUUGUGUUGGACAAUUUUACAUUAACAACAGGGGUUAGAAAUCUUCUGACAAACCAGAGGUAUGUCUGAAUAAACCCCUUUUGUAAUC
Oryzias latipes (Japanese medaka) is the source of this 1156-nucleotide long non-coding RNA. RefSeq lists it as uncharacterized. NCBI's taxonomy places the organism in Eukaryota, Metazoa, Chordata, Actinopteri, Beloniformes, Adrianichthyidae. The record is from RefSeq and is a predicted model, not a curated record.